GCCUAAUACAUGCAAGUCGAGCGAAGUUUUUGGUGCUUGCACCGGAAAAACUUAGCGGCGAACGGGUGAGUAACACGUAAAGAACCUGCCUCAUAGACUGGGACAACUAUUGGAAACGAUAGCUAAUACCGGAUAACAGCAUUAACUGCAUGGUUGAUGUUUAAAAGUUGGUUUUGCUAACACUAUGAGAUGGCUUUGCGGUGCAUUAGCUAGUUGGUGGGGUAAAGGCCUACCAAGGCCGUGAUGCAUAGCCGACCUGAGAGGGUGAUCGGCCACACUGGGACUGAGACACGGCCCAGACUCCUACGGGAGGCAGCAGUAGGGAAUCUUCCGCAAUGGGCGAAAGCCUGACGGAGCAACGCCGCGUGAGUGAAGAAGGAUUUCGGUUCGUAAAGCUCUGUUGUUAGGGAAGAAAU
This 416-nucleotide ribosomal RNA is filed under the name Gemella haemolysans. Its description in RNAcentral is "bacterial SSU rRNA". It matches the Rfam family "Bacterial small subunit ribosomal RNA", at positions 46 to 451 of the family's 1533-position model. The record is from RNAcentral. Lineage: Bacteria; Bacillati; Bacillota; Bacilli; Caryophanales; Gemellaceae.